AAAAAGGCAAACCCUGGGUUUCCGUGUCCAACUUUGACUGUCCGUCUUAUGUGAAAUUUUUUUAUAAUUCGUAUUUUCAUUGUUGUUAGAUGAUAAAACAUGAUUAAUAUUUUAUGCGUGACUUGUCUUUUUAAUUUUUUUCAAAUAAGACGGACGGUCAAACGUUGGGCAUGGAAACCAGGGUUUGUCUUUUU
Molecule: microRNA precursor, 194 nt
Filed under: Oryza rufipogon (brownbeard rice)
Lineage: Eukaryota; Viridiplantae; Streptophyta; Magnoliopsida; Poales; Poaceae
Description: MIR812 microRNA precursor family
Rfam family: MIR812 microRNA precursor family
Source: Rfam by way of RNAcentral